UACAGAGGUCUCAAGCGUUGUUCGGAUUCAUUGGGCGUAAAGGGUGCGUAGGCGGCGCGGGUAGUCAACGGUGAAAGCUCGGGGCUCAACCCUGAGUCGGCCGUCGAUACUCCCGCGCUUGAGCACUGUAGAGGCAGGUGGAAUUCCAGGUGUAGCGGUGAAAUGCGUAGAUAUCUGGAGGAACACCGGUGGCGAAGGCGGCAUCCUGGACCGAAAUUGACGCUGAGGCGCGAAAGCCAGGGGAGCAAACGGG
RNAcentral lists this ribosomal RNA (253 nucleotides) under uncultured bacterium. Its description in RNAcentral is "partial 16S ribosomal RNA". It matches the Rfam family "Bacterial small subunit ribosomal RNA", at positions 524 to 776 of the family's 1533-position model. The record is from RNAcentral.